CCUGGCUCAGCAUGAACGCUAGCUACAGGCUUAACACAUGCAAGUCGAGGGGCAGCAUGGUCUUAGCUUGCUAAGGCCGAUGGCGACCGGCGCACGGGUGAGUAACACGUAUCCAACCUGCCGUCUACUCUUGGACAGCCUUCUGAAAGGAAGAUUAAUACAAGAUGGCAUCAUGAGUCCGCAUGUUCACAUGAUUAAAGGUAUUCCGGUAGACGAUGGGGAUGCGUUCCAUUAGAUAGUAGGCGGGGUAACGGCCCACCUAGUCUUCGAUGGAUAGGGGUUCUGAGAGGAAGGUCCCCCACAUUGGAACUGAGACACGGUCCAAACUCCUACGGGAGGCAGCAGUGAGGAAUAUUGGUCAAUGGGCGAGAGCCUGAACCAGCCAAGUAGCGUGAAGGAUGACUGCCCUAUGGGUUGUAAACUUCUUUUAUAAAGGAAUAAAGUCGGGUAUGGAUACCCGUUUGCAUGUACUUUAUGAAUAAGGAUCGGCUAACUCCGUGCCAGCAGCCGCGGUAAUACGGAGGAUCCGAGCGUUAUCCGGAUUUAUUGGUUUAAAGGGAGCGUAGAUGGAUGUUUAAGUCAGUUGUGAAAGUUUGCGGCUCAACCGUAAAAUUGCAGUUGAUACUGGAUAUCUUGAGUGCAGUGAGCGAAGGCCGAAUUCGUGGUGUAGCGAUGAAAUGCUUAGAUAUCACGAAGAACUCCGAUUGCGAAGGCAGCCUGCUAAGCUGCAACUGACAUGAGGGCUCGAAAGUGUGGGUAUCAACAGGGAUUAGAUACCCUGGUAGUCCACACGGUAAACGAUGAAUACUCGCUGUUUGCGAUAUACUGCAAGCGCCCAGCGAAAGCGUUAAGUAUUCCACCUGGGGAGUACGCCGGCAACGGUGAAACUCAAAGGAAUUGACGGGGGCCCGCACAAGCGGAGGAACAUGUGGUUUAAUUCGAUGAUACGCGAGGAACCUUACCCGGGCUUAAAUUGCAGAUGAAUUACGGUGAAAGCCGUAAGCCGCAAGGCAUCUGUGAAGGUGCUGCAUGGUUGUCGUCAGCUCGUGCCGUGAGGUGUCGGCUUAAGUGCCAUAACGAGCGCAACCCUUGUUGUCAGUUACUAACAGGUUCCGCUGAGGACUCUGACAAGACUGCCAUCGUAAGAUGUGAGGAAGGUGGGGAUGACGUCAAAUCAGCACGGCCCUUACGUCCGGGGCUACACACGUGUUACAAUGGGGGGUACAGAGGGCCGCUACCACGCGAGUGGAUGCCAAUCCCCAAAACCUCUCUCAGUUCGGACUGGAGUCUGCAACCCGACUCCACGAAGCUGGAUUCGCUAGUAAUCGCGCAUCAGCCACGGCGCGGUGAAUACGUUCCCGGGCCUUGUACACACCGCCC
This 1380-nucleotide ribosomal RNA is filed under the name uncultured bacterium. RNAcentral's name for it is "bacterial SSU rRNA". It matches the Rfam family "Bacterial small subunit ribosomal RNA", at positions 18 to 1395 of the family's 1533-position model. The record is from RNAcentral.